Molecule: ribosomal RNA, 484 nt
Filed under: uncultured bacterium
Lineage: Bacteria
Description: bacterial SSU rRNA
Rfam family: Bacterial small subunit ribosomal RNA
Source: RNAcentral
GAUGAACGCUAGCGGCAGGCUUAACACAUGCAAGUCGAGGGGCAACACGGGUAGCAAUACCUGGUGGCGACCGGCGCAAGGGUGCGUAACGCGUGAGCAACAUGCCCUAUACAGGGGGAUAAUCCAGGGAAACUUGGUCUAAUAUCCCAUAGUAUUUAGAGGUGGCAUCACCACUAAAUUAAAGCUUCGGUGGUAUAGGAUUGGCUCGCGUGACAUUAGCUGGAUGGUGGGGUAACGGCUCACCAUGGCGAUGAUGUCUAGGGGUUCUGAGAGGAAGACCCCCCACACUGGGACUGAGACACGGCCCAGACUCCUACGGGAGGCAGCAGUGAGGAAUAUUGGACAAUGGAUGGAAAUCUGAUCCAGCCAUGCCGCGUGCAGGAAGACGGCCCUAUGGGUUGUAAACUGCUUUUAUAUGGGAGCAAUAAGGUUUACGCGUAGACCGAUGAGAGUACCAUAUGAAUAAGCAUCGGCUAACUACGUG